GACGAACGCUGGCGGCGUGCUUAACACAUGCAAGUCGAACGGAAAGGCCCUGCUUUUGUGGGGUGCUCGAGUGGCGAACGGGUGAGUAACACGUGAGUAACCUGCCCUUGACUUUGGGAUAACUUCAGGAAACUUGGGCUAAUACCUGAUAGGAGCUCCUGCUGCAUGGUGGGGGUUGGAAAGUUUCGGCGGUUGGGGAUGGACUCGCGGCUUAUCAGCUUGUUGGUGGGGUAGUGGCUUACCAAGGCUUUGACGGGUAGCCGGCCUGAGAGGGUGACCGGCCACAUUGGGACUGAGAUACGGCCCAGACUGCUACGGGAGGCAGCAGUGGGGAAUAUUGCACAAUGGGCGGAAGCCUGAUGCAGCAACGCCGCGUGCGGGAUGACGGCCUUCGGGUUGUAAAACGCUUUCGCCUGUGACGAAGCGUGAGUGACGGUAAUGGGUAAAGAAGCACCGGCUAACUACGUG
Molecule: ribosomal RNA, 468 nt
Filed under: uncultured bacterium
Lineage: Bacteria
Description: partial 16S ribosomal RNA
Rfam family: Bacterial small subunit ribosomal RNA
Source: RNAcentral